GAAAUCACUGCGACGCCGAGAAUAGUCUGCAAUGCCGCCAGACAUCGAGCUAAUCGUCGAUGGUAGAUCAAAGGAGGUGGCCUCGUCACCAUCCCUCCUUACAAGGUAUCUCAACCGGUUGAUGAAUGAUUGAACGUCCUUGCCAUAUCGAAGAAAUCGCCAGGAAACUCGCCUACUACCAUCAUUUACACUGCAAGAUCGAGUAUUUCCCACUGGAAUAUUGAAUAGAAAAUGCGAGCGAUCGCCUACCACCAUAGCAUUUUGCAGACAUAUCGAACGGGGACUAACUUGAAAACUAAUUCUAU
Molecule: long non-coding RNA, 305 nt
Organism: Acromyrmex echinatior (Panamanian leafcutter ant)
Lineage: Eukaryota; Metazoa; Arthropoda; Insecta; Hymenoptera; Formicidae
Source: RefSeq, a predicted model, not a curated record